UUACCAUGAAGCUAUAAUUUCACUUUCAUGAUUAAACAUGGUCCAAUUUAAAUGUUUUUCUUUUCAUGUUAAGCAUAUUAAAAUAUUUUGGGGGAGGGAUAAAUGGUAUAAGUUUGAGUUUAUAUUUGUCAAUUAAGUAAAAUUUAAUAGACCAACAUUUUGAAUAGUCUUUUAGGCUGGAUACAUCUUUGACUGUUUUUAUAAUUAGUAAGACUCUAAUCUUGGUAAGCCUUAGUUAAAUGUGGAAAAUGCAAUUGAUACAUAGAAUUAACUACAGACUAUUGAAGACACAGAAUAGAGGAGAAUGUGAAGAGUGGUGGACAAAUUUAUUUUCUCAUAUGUAAAACAAUCACUAAAGACUACUUUUUAGUUGUGUUAUUAUAAGGUGAAUAUAUAACACAGUUUCUGGCACAUAGUAAACUCUUAAAUUUUGAUUUUGAUCUGAUAAAAUUCUAUUGAUUUUAUCAGUAACACAAUGAGUAUUAAAAAAUUCUAUAUUGGUUCAUUUCUGAAUUAAUUAAUUUUAUUGGUAAAAUAGGUGGGAGUAAGUUCCAGAAGUGAACAGAUUGACAAAACGAGGACCUUUAACGUAGGAAGACAAGUACUCGGAGCUGGCAUAAUUAAAGCGUGUGUGUUCCUAGAGGUAGGGAUAGGGUUAAUAAUGUUUGUUCUUUGGACUCACAGAUAAUAGAUAAUACUUUCAGAAUAUUACAGUUAACUUAUGAUUAUUUAAAACCAAAUUUCACAUAGUACUAAAAAUAUUAAGUAGAUGAACAAAUGGUACAUUAUGAGUUAGAAAAUAGUAUAUAUUGAACAGUAAGGUGGUAGAAUUUUCAUUCUAAGAAGUUGCAGGUGUAUGUGAAUAACACUAGUUGUGGACGGUUAGGUUCUUGUGUAUGUCAGGGUGUUGUGGAUGUGUGACGUGUUGUGGGUGAUACUGGAGACAGUACCUGUCUCCUCAUAAAUUACAUAUGGAUGUCUUUUUCAGAAAGGAUGGUGAGUUGAUGCAUGUGGCAGUCUUAUAUUUUUGCCUGUAUGUUUUUUAUAUAUGUUCCUGAAUCUGUGUGGAGAAGUGGAACAAGAAGUUUAUGUUUUAUAAGAUUGCAAAGGAUUGGAAAGAUUGAUGGUUUCAUCUUCAGAAAGCCUUAAAAAAGGGUGUUAAAAUCUCUAAUGUUACUUUCCUUUUUAGACACAUUUU
This is a long non-coding RNA of Phyllostomus discolor (pale spear-nosed bat), 1198 nucleotides long. RefSeq lists it as uncharacterized. Lineage: Eukaryota; Metazoa; Chordata; Mammalia; Chiroptera; Phyllostomidae. The record is from RefSeq and is a predicted model, not a curated record. The transcript has 2 exons.